AACCUCAACUCAUGUGAGACUACCC
Molecule: ribosomal RNA, 25 nt
Filed under: Twinnia tibblesi
Lineage: Eukaryota; Metazoa; Arthropoda; Insecta; Diptera; Simuliidae
Description: partial 28S ribosomal RNA
Source: RNAcentral